Molecule: ribosomal RNA, 301 nt
Filed under: uncultured bacterium
Lineage: Bacteria
Description: partial 16S ribosomal RNA
Rfam family: Bacterial small subunit ribosomal RNA
Source: RNAcentral
CAGCAGCCACGGGAAUACGUAGGGUGCGAGCGUUAAUCGGAAUUACUGGGCGUAAAGCGUGCGCAGGCGGUUCGUUAAGACAGAUGUGAAAUCCCCGGGCUUAACCUGGGAACUGCAUUUGUGACUGGCGAGCUAGAGUAUGGCAGAGGGGGGUGGAAUUCCACGUGUAGCAGUGAAAUGCGUAGAGAUGUGGAGGAACACCGAUGGCGAAGGCAGCCCCCUGGGCCAAUACUGACGCUCAUGCACGAAAGCGUGGGGAGCAAACAGGAUUAGAUACCCGAGUAGUCCCUGUCUCUUAUAC